CCCAGGGGUCCUGUGUCCCCUGGGGGUCCCAUGUCCCUGGGGGGGUGUCCCUGGGGGUCCCGUGUCCUCAGGGGUCCCAUGUCCCCAAGGGUCCCUUGUUCUGGGGGUCCCUUGUCCCCCAGGGGUCCCGUGUCCCCAAGGGUCCCUUCUCCUGGGGGUCCCUUCUUCCCAAGGUCCUGUCCCCCCAAGGUGUCCCAUGUCACCAGGGGGCUGUCCCCGGGGGUCCUGUGUCCCCACAGGAGGUGUCCCUGGGGGGUCCCGUGUCCCUGGGGGGUCCCAUGUCCCCAGGGAUCCCAUGUCGAAGGGUCCUGUGUCCCAUGGGGUCCCCUGUCCCCCAGGGGUCCCGUGUCCCCAAGGGUCCCUUCUCCUGGGGGUUCCUUGUCCCUCAGACUCUUGUGUCCCCGAGGGUCCCUUGUCUUGGGGGCCCCAUGUCCCCUGGGGUCCCUUGUCCCCCCCAAUUCCAUGUUCCCUGGGGUCCCUUGUCCCCCAAGGGUCCCUUGUCCGGGUGGUCCCAUGUCACUUGUCCCUGAGAGGUCCCAUGUCCCCGGGGGUCCUUUCUCCCCAGGGUCCCCUGUCCCCGAGGGUCCCUUGUCCUUGGGGGGUCCUGUGUCCCCCGAGGUCCCUUGUCCCCCCGAUUCCCUGUUCCCUGGGGUCCCGUGUCCCCAAGGGUCCCUUCUCCUGGGGGUUCCUUGUCCCUCAGACUCUUGUGUCCCCGGGGGUCCCUUGUCCUGGGGGUCCCUUCUUCCCGAGGUCCCCUGUCCCCAGGGGUCCCUUGUCCUGGGGUCACUUGUCCUUCGGGGUCCCAUGUCCCUGAGGGUCCCUCGUCUCCUGGGGGUUCUGUGUCCCCACAAUCCCAUGUCCCAUGGUGUCCCUUGUCCCCCAGAGGUCCCAUGUCCCCAGGGGUCCUUUCUCCUGGGGGUCCUGUGUCCCUGGGGGGUCCCUUGGCCCCGAGGGUCCCUUCUCCUGGGGGUCCCAUGUCCCCAAGGGUCCCAUGUCCCCAAGGGUCCCUUGUCCCCCAGGGGUCCCUUCUCCAGGGGGUCCUGUGUCCCUGGGGGGUCCUUUGGCCCCGAGGGUCCCUUCUCCUGGGGGUCCCUUGUCCCCAAGGGUCUUAUGUCCCUGGGGUCCCAUGUCUCCAGGGGGUCCCUUUUCCUCAGGGGUCCCAUGUCCUGGGGGUCCCUUGGCCCCCAGGUCCCAUGUCCGGGGGGUCCCGCAGGUCCCCCAACCACUGGGCUCAGUGAUNNNNNNNNNNNNNNNNNNNNNNNNNNNNNNNNNN
This 1273-nucleotide long non-coding RNA is filed under the name Calidris pugnax (ruff). RNAcentral describes it as "lncRNA (ENSCPUG00000008624.1)". Lineage: Eukaryota; Metazoa; Chordata; Aves; Charadriiformes; Scolopacidae. The record is from RNAcentral.